Molecule: ribosomal RNA, 492 nt
Filed under: uncultured bacterium
Lineage: Bacteria
Description: partial 16S ribosomal RNA
Rfam family: Bacterial small subunit ribosomal RNA
Source: RNAcentral
AGUGAACGCUGGCGGUAGGCCUAACACAUGCAAGUGGAACGGCAGCACCGUAAGAGCUUGCUCUUACGGGUGGCGAGUGGCGGAUGUGUGAGAAAUACAUCCGAAUAUACUUUUUCGUGGGCGAUAACGGAGGGAAACUUACGCUAAUACCGCAUACGACCUACUGAUCAAAGGAGAGGAUCUUCGGACCUUGCGCGAUUGAAUGAGCCGAUGUCGGAUUAGCUAGUUGGCGGGGUAAAGGCCCACCAAGGCGACGAUCCGUAGCUGGUCUGAGAGGAUGAUCAGCCACACUGGAACUGAGACACGGUCCAGACUCCUACGGGAGGCCGCAGUCGGGACUAUUCGCUAAUGGGCUCAAGUUUGAUCCAGCCAUACCGUGUGCGUGCAGGAAGCGUUCGGGUUGUAAAGAGCUUUUGUUGGGAAAGAAACGCAGCAGGUUAAGACGCUGCUGUUCUGACGGUACCAAAAGAAUAAGCACCGCCUGACUUGGUG